Molecule: ribosomal RNA, 253 nt
Filed under: uncultured bacterium
Lineage: Bacteria
Description: partial 16S ribosomal RNA
Rfam family: Bacterial small subunit ribosomal RNA
Source: RNAcentral
UACGGAGGGGGCUAGCGUUGUUCGGAAUUACUGGGCGUAAAGCGCACGUAGGCGGCUUUGCAAGUCAGAGGUGAAAGCCCGGGGCUCAACCCCGGAAUUGCCUUUGAGACUGCAUCGCUAGAAUUGUGGAGAGGUAAGUGGAAUUCCGAGCGUAGAGGUGAAAUUCGUAGAUGUUCGGAAGAACACCAGUGGCGAAGGCGACUUACUGGACACAUAUUGACGCUGAGGUGCGAAAGCGUGGGGAGCAAACAGG